GGGCGCUUAGCUCAGUUGGUUUAGAGCAUCACCUUGACAGGGUGGGGGUCACUGGUUCGAAUCCAGUAGUGCUCA
This 75-nucleotide transfer RNA is filed under the name Bacteroidota bacterium. RNAcentral describes it as "Bacteroidetes bacterium tRNA-Val". It matches the Rfam family "tRNA". From Rfam's summary of the family: Transfer RNA (tRNA) molecules are approximately 80 nucleotides in length. RNAcentral also lists the same sequence under 2 other names. Lineage: Bacteria; Pseudomonadati; Bacteroidota. The record is from RNAcentral.